GUGGGGAAUCUUGCGCAAUGGGCGAAAGCCUGACGCAGCCAUGCCGCGUGAAUGAUGAAGGUCUUAGGAUUGUAAAAUUCUUUCACCGGGGACGAUAAUGACGGUACCCGGAGAAGAAGCUCCGGCUAACUUCGUGCCAGCAGCCGCGGUAAUACGAAGGGGGCUAGCGUUGCUCGGAAUUACUGGGCGUAAAGGGCGCGUAGGCGGACAGCUUAGUCAGAGGUGAAAGCCCAGGGCUCAACCUUGGAAUUGCCUUUGAUACUGGCUGUCUUGAGUUUGGGAGAGGUGAGUGGAACUCCGAGUGUAGAGGUGAAAUUCGUAGAUAUUAGGAAGAACACCAGUGGCGAAGGCGCCUUACUGGCGCGGUACUGACGCUGAGGUACGAAAGCGUGGGGAGCAAACAGGAUUAGAUACCCGUGUAGUCC
RNAcentral lists this ribosomal RNA (425 nucleotides) under uncultured bacterium. Its description in RNAcentral is "partial 16S ribosomal RNA". It matches the Rfam family "Bacterial small subunit ribosomal RNA", at positions 354 to 796 of the family's 1533-position model. The record is from RNAcentral.